RNAcentral lists this long non-coding RNA (1360 nucleotides) under Amborella trichopoda. Its description in RNAcentral is "long non-coding RNA (ATRI_LNC005372)". Lineage: Eukaryota; Viridiplantae; Streptophyta; Magnoliopsida; Amborellales; Amborellaceae. The record is from RNAcentral.
AGAGAGAGAGAGAGAGAGAGAGAGAGAGAGUAGUAGGUGGUAGGAGGUAGUAGGAGUAGGUAGGGUAGGGGUAGGGAGGUACGUAGUACGACGACGUACGUAAGUAGUGGUCGUAGGUAGGUAACGUAACGUUACGUUACGUUACCGUUACCGGUUACGGGNNNNNNNNNNNNNNNNNNNNGUAACGUAACGUAACGUAACGUAACGAACCGAACGAACGAACGAACGAACGAACGAACGAACGAACGAAGAGAAGAGAGAGAGAGAGAGAGAGGGAGAGAGAGAGAGAGAGAGGUUAUGGGGUCAGGGAGUUAGAGGAUGAGUGGGGGAGGAGUCAUGACACUCGAAAUGUGCUGGUGAAUACUUGAUUCCACCUUGGUGGAGGCUCGAUUCCACUAAUCAUGGAUCCAUCAUAUGGGUGGGACAGAUCUAGAUCCUCAAUUUGGCAGAUCGAGAUCGCUAAAUUCAAAAAACAUCUGAAAUUGAUUUCCCGUAUCCCGAAGCACAGGAUCAAGCAUCCAGAGCAAGAGCAACCACCUUCCUUCUUACGAGACCCCGGGUACAAAAAUUCGGCCGCCCAGCCUCCUAGGCAGCCAUUUUCUCAAAUCGCCUAGGCGCCCACCCAGUACCACCCUUUUUAAGUACUCUCUCUAUGGCUUUAUGGUUUUGAACUUUUUUCUGCUUUUUAUUUUUUUUUGACAAGCAUGUGUUACUACUUUUAUUAAUCCUUGGUUUCAUGAGGGACCACCCACCAAUGGUUUAAUUCCAACACACCAAAAUAUUUCAGGCUUUGCUUUCAAGAAACCUAUACAUGGAAUAUCUCCUCCUUUAGUUGAUUAUAAUUUAUAGUCACCAUCAAUUUUCUCUUUCACUAUUUUUAACUUUUUUACUUUUACCACCCCGUCACUUUGCACAUGGAGCACUCUUGCAUUGCCACCUAAUCUACUCAUCAAUCAAUGCUUCAUUUUUGUCUCCCCUUGUGUUGCCAAGAUUAUGUUGUCCUUUUCCCAUGUCAAAACUCUCUCUCUCUCUCUCAUACAUAUAUAAAUAUGUCACAUAAAGAAACUUCCUGCCUCCUUUUGGUCCCCCAAAACAAAGUGCCGCCUAGGUAUCUGGGCGGCCACCUCCGCAUUCUUGAACAUUGGUUCAAAUAAUCUAUGUGACCUAUAAAUGGUGGUGUGCAUUCAUGCAACUUCCUAAAAUGAAGUCAAACAGGUCAUACAACAAAUUGGUAAAUAUUAAGUUAUUCUACACACAUAUUAAAAUGUUAUAGAUAUCGGCAAAGUUUGGAUUUCAACUAAUCACUUAAAGUACCCUAUGUAGAUAAUCAAACAACACUGAAUCGAUGUGUUUAAUCAAC